CAUGAAGCUGGAAUCGCUAGUAAUCGCGAAUCAGCAUGUCGCGGUGAAUACGUUCCCGGGUCUUGUACACACCGCCCGUCACACCAUGGGAGUCGGAAAUGCCCGAAGCCAGUGAACCCAACCAUAAGGAGGGAGCUGUCGAAGGUGGAGCCGGUAACUGGGGUGAAGUCGUAACAAGGUAUC
Molecule: ribosomal RNA, 183 nt
Filed under: uncultured bacterium
Lineage: Bacteria
Description: partial 16S ribosomal RNA
Rfam family: Bacterial small subunit ribosomal RNA
Source: RNAcentral